CCUACGGGAGGCAGCAGUAGGGAAUAUUGCUCAAUGGGGGAAACCCUGAAGCAGCAACGCCGCGUGGAGGAUGAAGGUUUUCGGAUUGUAAACUCCUUUUGUUAGAGAAGAUAAUGACGGUAUCUAACGAAUAAGCACCGGCUAACUCCGUGCCAGCAGCCGCGGUAAUACGGAGGGUGCAAGCGUUACUCGGAAUCACUGGGCGUAAAGAGCGCGUAGGCGGGAUAGCAAGUCAGAUGUGAAAUCCUAUGGCUUAACCAUAGAACUGCAUUUGAAACUGUUAUUCUAGAGUAUGGGAGAGGUAGGUGGAAUUCUUGGUGUAGGGGUAAAAUGCGUAGAGAUCAAGAGGAAUACUCAUUGCGAAGGCGGCUUACUGGACUGUAACUGACGUUGAGGCUCGAAAGCGUGGGGAGCAAACAGGAUUAGAUACCCGAGUAGUC
This 440-nucleotide ribosomal RNA is filed under the name uncultured bacterium. Its description in RNAcentral is "partial 16S ribosomal RNA". It matches the Rfam family "Bacterial small subunit ribosomal RNA", at positions 338 to 795 of the family's 1533-position model. The record is from RNAcentral.